GCCCUCGUAGCUCAGGGGAUAGAGCACCGCUCUCCUAAAGCGGGUGUCGCAGGUUCGAUUCCUGCCGGGGGCA
This 73-nucleotide transfer RNA is filed under the name Pseudonocardia sp. Ae150A_Ps1. RNAcentral's name for it is "tRNA-Arg". It matches the Rfam family "tRNA". From Rfam's summary of the family: Transfer RNA (tRNA) molecules are approximately 80 nucleotides in length. Their secondary structure includes four short double-helical elements and three loops (D, anti-codon, and T loops). Lineage: Bacteria; Bacillati; Actinomycetota; Actinomycetes; Pseudonocardiales; Pseudonocardiaceae. RNAcentral also lists the same sequence under 5 other names. The record is from RNAcentral.